GCCAGGCAUGGUGGCUCAUGCCUGUAAUCCCACCACUUUGGGAGGCUGAGGCAGGCGGAUUGCUUGAGCCCAGGAGUUCAAGACCAACCUGGGCAACACAGCGAGACCCUGUCUCUA
Molecule: non-coding RNA, 117 nt
Filed under: Gorilla gorilla gorilla (western lowland gorilla)
Lineage: Eukaryota; Metazoa; Chordata; Mammalia; Primates; Hominidae
Also listed under: 1 other name
Source: Rfam by way of RNAcentral